GACGAACGCUGGCGGCGUGCUUAACACAUGCAAGUCGAACGGAAAGGCCCUGCUUUUGUGGGGUGCUCGAGUGGCGAACGGGUGAGUAACACGUGAGUAACCUGCCCUUGACUUUGGGAUAACUUCAGGAAACUGGGGCUAAUACCGGAUAGGAGCUCCUGCUGCAUGGUGGGGGUUGGAAAGUUUCGGCGGUUGGGGAUGGACUCGCGGCUUAUCAGCUUGUUGGUGGGGUAGUGGCUGACCAAGGCUUUGACGGGUAGCCGGCCUGAGAGGGUGACCGGCCACCUUGGGACUGAGAUACGGCCCAGACUCCUACGGGAGGCAGCAGUGGGGAAUAUUGCACAAUGGGCGGAAGCCUGAUGCAGCAACGCCGCGUGCGGGAUGACGGCCUUCGGGUUGUAAACCGCUUUCGCCUGUGACGAAGCGUGAGUGACGGUAAUGGGUAAAGAAGCACCGGCUAACUACGUG
RNAcentral lists this ribosomal RNA (468 nucleotides) under uncultured bacterium. Its description in RNAcentral is "partial 16S ribosomal RNA". It matches the Rfam family "Bacterial small subunit ribosomal RNA", at positions 28 to 507 of the family's 1533-position model. The record is from RNAcentral.